GAGGGUAGAGCUCAGUGGUAGAGUGCCUGCCUAGCAUGCAUGAGGUCCUGGGCCCAAUCCCCAGGACCUACA
Molecule: transfer RNA, 72 nt
Filed under: Camelus bactrianus (Bactrian camel)
Lineage: Eukaryota; Metazoa; Chordata; Mammalia; Artiodactyla; Camelidae
Also listed under: 2 other names
Rfam family: tRNA
About the family: Transfer RNA (tRNA) molecules are approximately 80 nucleotides in length. Their secondary structure includes four short double-helical elements and three loops (D, anti-codon, and T loops). Further hydrogen bonds mediate the characteristic L-shaped molecular structure. tRNAs have two regions of fundamental functional importance: the anti-codon, which is responsible for specific mRNA codon recognition, and the 3' end, to which the tRNAs corresponding amino acid is attached (by aminoacyl-tRNA synthetases). tRNAs cope with the degeneracy of the genetic code in two manners: having more than one tRNA (with a specific anti-codon) for a particular amino acid; and 'wobble' base-pairing, i.e. permitting non-standard base-pairing at the 3rd anti-codon position.
Source: Rfam by way of RNAcentral